CUGUUACUUAACAUACACAUGCAAGCAUCCACUCCCCUGUGAAAACGCCCUUUUACUCCUUUUAGGAACAAGGAGCUGGUAUCAGGCACGAAAAUCUGCCCAAAACACCUAGCUUUGCCACACCCACAAGGGAAUUCAGCAGUGAUUAACAUUGAGCAUGAGCGAAAGCUUGACUCAGUCAAAGUAAAACAGAGCCGGCUAAUCUGGUGCCAGCCGCCGCGGUUACACCACGUGGCUCAAACUGAUUUUUUCCGGCGUAAAGCGUGAUUAAAGUCUCUGAACACUAGAGUUAAACUAAAACCGAGCUGUGACACGCCCGUUAUCAAGAAACUCAAAAACGAAAGUUACUCUAACACAACCUACUUGAAUUCACGACAGCUGGAAAACAAACUGGGAUUAGAUACCCCACUAUGCCCAGCCAUAAACUUUUAUUUACACCACAAAUCGCCAGGGAACUACAAGCCAAGCUUAAAACCCAAAGGACUUGACGGUACCCCACAUCCUCCUAGAGGAGCCUGUCCUAUAAUCGAUAAUCCACGUUUAACCUCACCAUUUUUAGUAAAUCAGCCUGUAUACCUCCGUCGUCAGCUUACCACGUGAGCGUUCAUUAGUGAGCCAAAUGUUACUCCACCCACACGUCAGGUCAAGGUGCAGCAAAUGAAAUGGGAAGAGAUGGGCUACACUUUCUACAUUAGAAAAGACGAAAGACUAUUUAUGAAACCUAGUUAGAAGGCGGAUUUAGCAGUAAAAAGGAAUUAGCAUGUCCAUUUUAACCUGGCACUGGGGUGUGUACACACCGCCCGUCACCCUCUUCAAAGCUAUAAAAAAGUUUUUAACUAACUAAUGCACAAUAGAAGAGGCAAGUCGUAACAUGGUAAGUAUACCGGAAGGUGUGCUUGGAAA
Molecule: non-coding RNA, 903 nt
Filed under: Ansonia longidigita (long-fingered stream toad)
Lineage: Eukaryota; Metazoa; Chordata; Amphibia; Anura; Bufonidae
Description: partial 12S ribosomal RNA
Rfam family: Bacterial small subunit ribosomal RNA
Source: RNAcentral